Molecule: non-coding RNA, 222 nt
Filed under: Blastopirellula retiformator
Lineage: Bacteria; Pseudomonadati; Planctomycetota; Planctomycetia; Pirellulales; Pirellulaceae
Source: RNAcentral
CGAAUCAUCCGUCUUAGGAACAUUUGGAAAAUGCAAUCUCCCCGUCGACCGCCGGUAACGGUCCCGUCUUGAGCGUCCGCAGUCAAGGGAAACGCAGGCCAGCCAUUGAGCUCCGACAUCGACCUAGUUUCGCGUGCCGAUCCUGUCUGGACAGCGAGAAGGCGAAAUCGGCCGGUUCGCAAGUAGGCGAGAACCGGUCGGACGCGGCGGAGUCAGAGCCCC